This 759-nucleotide ribosomal RNA is filed under the name Aggregatibacter segnis. RNAcentral describes it as "bacterial SSU rRNA". It matches the Rfam family "Bacterial small subunit ribosomal RNA", at positions 28 to 776 of the family's 1533-position model. The record is from RNAcentral. Lineage: Bacteria; Pseudomonadati; Pseudomonadota; Gammaproteobacteria; Pasteurellales; Pasteurellaceae.
AUUGAACGCUGGCGGCAGGCUUAACACAUGCAAGUCGAACGGUAACAGGAGAAAGCUUGCUUUCUUGCUGACGAGUGGCGGACGGGUGAGUAAUGCUUGGGAAUCUGGCUUAUGGAGGGGGAUAACGACGGGAAACUGUCGCUAAUACCGCGUAGAGUCGGGAGACGAAAGUGCGGGACCGCAAGGCCGCAUGCCAUGAGAUGAGCCCAAGUGGGAUUAGGUAGUUGGUGGGGUAAAGGCCUACCAAGCCGACGAUCUCUAGCUGGUCUGAGAGGAUGACCAGCCACACCGGGACUGAGACACGGCCCGGACUCCUACGGGAGGCAGCAGUGGGGAAUAUUGCGCAAUGGGGGCAACCCUGACGCAGCCAUGCCGCGUGAAUGAAGAAGGCCUUCGGGUUGUAAAGUUCUUUCGGUGACGAGGAAGGCGUGAUGUUUAAUAGGCAUCACGAUUGACGUUAAUCACAGAAGAAGCACCGGCUAACUCCGUGCCAGCAGCCGCGGUAAUACGGAGGGUGCGAGCGUUAAUCGGAAUAACUGGGCGUAAAGGGCACGCAGGCGGCUAUUUAAGUGAGGUGUGAAAUCCCCGGGCUUAACCUGGGAAUUGCAUUUCAGACUGGGUAGCUAGAGUACUUUAGGGAGGGGUAGAAUUCCACGUGUAGCGGUGAAAUGCGUAGAGAUGUGGAGGAAUACCGAAGGCGAAGGCAGCCCCUUGGGAAUGUACUGACGCUCAUGUGCGAAAGCGUGGGGAGCAAACAGG